RNAcentral lists this ribosomal RNA (496 nucleotides) under uncultured bacterium. RNAcentral's name for it is "partial 16S ribosomal RNA". It matches the Rfam family "Bacterial small subunit ribosomal RNA", at positions 29 to 507 of the family's 1533-position model. The record is from RNAcentral.
AUGAACGCUGGCGGCGUGCCUAAUACAUGCAAGUCGAGCGAACAGAUGAGGAGCUUGCUCCUCUGACGUUAGCGGCGGACGGGUGAGUAACACGUGGAUAACCUACCUAUAAGACUGGGAUAACUUCGGGAAACCGGAGCUAAUACCGGAUAAUAUAUUUAACCGCAUGGUUCAAUAGUGUAAGACGGUUUUGCUGUUACUUAUAGAUGGAUCCGCGCCGCAUUAGCUAGUUGGUAAGGUAACGGCUUACCAAGGCAACGAUGCGUAGCCGACCUGAGAGGGUGAUCGGCCACACUGGAACUGAGACACGGUCCAGACUCCUACGGGAGGCAGCAGUAGGGAAUCUUCCGCAAUGGGCGAAAGCCUGACGGAGCAACGCCGCGUGAGUGAUGAAGGUCUUCGGAUCGUAAAACUCUGUUAUUAGGGAAGAACAAAUGUGUAAGUAACUAUGCACGUCUUGACGGUACCUAAUCAGAAAGCCACGGCUAACUACGUG